CUCAGAAUGAACGCUGGCGGUCUGCUUAACACAUGCAAGUCGAACGCAACCUUCGGGUUGAGUGGCGGACGGGUGAGUAACGCGUGAGAAUCUGCCUUGGGGUCGGGGACAACCACUGGAAACGGUGGCUAAUACCGGAUAAGCCUUUGGGUAAAAAAUUUAUUGCCCCAAGAGGAGCUCGCGUCUGAUUAGCUAGUUGGUGAGGUAAGAGCUCACCAAGGCAGCGAUCAGUAGCUGGUCUGAGAGGACGAUCAGCCACACUGGGACUGAGACACGGCCCAGACUCCUACGGGAGGCAGCAGUGGGGAAUUUUCCGCAAUGGGCGAAAGCCUGACGGAGCAAGACCGCGUGAGGGAGGAAGGCUCUUGGGUUGUAAACCUCUUUUCUCAGGGAAGAAGCUCUGACGGUACCUGAGGAAUCAGCCUCGGCUAACUCCGUGCCAGCAGCCGCGGUAAUACGGAGGAGGCAAGCGUUAUCCGGAAUUAUUGGGCGUAAAGCGUCCGCAGGUGGCGAUUCAAGUCUGCUGUCAAAGCACGGGGCUUAACUCCGUUAAGGCAGUGGAAAUUGAAUAGCUAGAGUGCCGUAGGGGUAGAGGGAAUUCCCGGUGUAGCGGUGAAAUGCGUAGAGAUCGGGAAGAACAUCGGUGGCGAAAGCGCUCUACUGGACGGCAACUGACACUCAGGGACGAAAGCUAGGGGAGCGAAUGGGAUUAGAUACCCCAGUAGUCCUAGCUGUAAACGAUGGAUACUAGGUGUAGCUUGUAUCGACCCGAGCUGUGCCGAAGCUAACGCGUUAAGUAUCCCGCCUGGGGAGUACGCACGCAAGUGUGAAACUCAAA
RNAcentral lists this ribosomal RNA (838 nucleotides) under uncultured organism. RNAcentral describes it as "bacterial SSU rRNA". It matches the Rfam family "Bacterial small subunit ribosomal RNA", at positions 23 to 905 of the family's 1533-position model. The record is from RNAcentral.